This is an RNA transcript of Fragaria vesca subsp. vesca, 367 nucleotides long. RefSeq lists it as uncharacterized. The annotation marks the transcript as partial. NCBI's taxonomy places the organism in Eukaryota, Viridiplantae, Streptophyta, Magnoliopsida, Rosales, Rosaceae. The transcript has 2 exons. The record is from RefSeq and is a predicted model, not a curated record.
GGGGAUGCCGAUAUCUUCUUCCCUACCGAAUUCUGGUUAUUGGAACGUAUUGAUCAUUACUGUUCUGGAUGGAAGAAGCUGCAAAAAGAUGACUCAUCCAAAGAAGGAAAGAAGAGGCGAACAAUUAUACUUGAUACGUCAUCAUUCAUGGAAGAAUUUGGAUUGCCCUCGAGGACAAGAACCAAGGAUGGAUACAAUCCACUUUUGGAUGACUUCAAGAAUACAAAAUUCUAUUUAAGUGUCCCAACACAUAAUACUUCAUAGAAGGCUGGUAUUAGUGACUUCUUCAUUUCCAAGUUGGCUUUGUCUUGCUGAAUCUGGGUAUCAAAAUUAUACGAGCAUUGCAUCACCAGCUCAACUUUUUACU